Molecule: long non-coding RNA, 855 nt
Filed under: Chrysemys picta bellii (western painted turtle)
Lineage: Eukaryota; Metazoa; Chordata; Testudines; Emydidae
Description: lncRNA (ENSCPBG00000005668.1)
Source: RNAcentral
AGAACUGACAUCAGAAUGUGAAGCAGUAGCUUAUCUCACUACUUGUCUCAUGGCCAGCAUGUGACCCUGGCUGCAAAGCUCUCACCAGGGAAGACUGGCAGGCAUCAAGAGGCUUAGCUUUCACAGGCUCCAGAGAUCUUGUUCUCCAGCCUUCACAUUUACAAGGAGCCCUGCUGCACCUGUGCCAUCCCACAAUAGGGAAACACACCUAGUGAGGAUAUGUUGUUUUGGAAGACUGCUAUGGAUAUCAGAUGUGCCACUCUGCCACCUGAGUCUCACAAGAACCCUGUGAGAGAUUGAUGCAGCAGUGAGUCUUCUCCUGAGAAUGCUGUUUACGUGGCAGCAGAGGCUUAUCCUAUUGCAAAUCUGGAAAAACAAGGUGAAUGGAUGUUAAGCCUAUGUUAGAAAUGGAUAUAUCUGACCAUUACUCUGUUAGCAGUUCCUAACAGGCCUGACAACACCCAACACAUUGCUGUCAUAGUAUUUAUCUGUAAAGAAUGUUAUAUGAGAUUUUAAAUGAGAGCUGGGAUCAUGCUGGUUGUCAUGAAAUGUAUGUAGAGAUGAAAUUUAAAAAAUGGUGUGUAUACUGAAAAUAUAUCUGGAACGUCUGUAUCAAGGUGUGAGUCACCAGCAGAGGCAGGUUUUCUCUCAGAUCAGCACUAUUUGUCCAUCUAACUAAUUGACAUGUAAAUUUAAGCAUUGUAUUGUUUCACAGUGGGCUCUCAUCACUGUUUGAACUGAAUGCUAAUGAAGAACAGAGACAUAUGAAAUCAACAGGAAAAACAAGCAAAGAGGGAGAAGAGUCUGAUCUGGGGUAUACACUUCAAAGGUUUACUGGACUUAUAGUAAAACUUU